CGGAGGGUGCAAGCGUUAUCCGGAUUCACUGGGUUUAAAGGGUGCGUAGGUGGGUUUGUAAGUCAGUGGUGAAAUCUCCGAGCUUAACUCGGAAACUGCCAUUGAUACUAUAGAUCUUGAAUUAUCUGGAGGUGAGCGGAAUAUGUCAUGUAGCGGUGAAAUGCUUAGAUAUGACAUAGAACACCAAUUGCGAAGGCAGCUCACUACGGAUAUAUUGACACUGAGGCACGAAAGCGUGGGGAUCAAACAGGAUUAGAUACCCUGGUAGUCCACGCCCUAAACGAUGGAUACUCGACAUCAGCGAUACACUGUUGGUGUCUGAGCGAAAGCAUUAAGUAUCCCACCUGGGAAGUACGACCGCAAGGUUG
RNAcentral lists this ribosomal RNA (368 nucleotides) under uncultured organism. RNAcentral describes it as "bacterial SSU rRNA". It matches the Rfam family "Bacterial small subunit ribosomal RNA", at positions 526 to 896 of the family's 1533-position model. The record is from RNAcentral.